UUUUUUUUUUUUUUUUUUAUGGGUAUUUGUUGUUUGGAUUUUUAUUUUUUAAAUUGUUAUUGCUUAAUUGAAGCUAAUUCUGGUACAGUGUGGUUUGGAUAAAUUGUGGUUUUGAAUUCUGAUGGGCACGCGAUUCUAGUAAAAAAAUAUUCGAGCUGGGCAUCUCUCGCCGCAAUGUGUGAUGGUGUGCCUUAGUAAACGCGCUGUCGUUUUAAUUUAUGUUAAUUUAAUUAGUAUUGAUGCAUUAUGCCUUUAAAUAAUGUUUUCAAAUCUAAUUGGGUGCUUGAAUUGACG
This 294-nucleotide unclassified non-coding RNA is filed under the name Hevea brasiliensis (rubber tree). Lineage: Eukaryota; Viridiplantae; Streptophyta; Magnoliopsida; Malpighiales; Euphorbiaceae. The record is from RNAcentral.